AAAAUUUCAGAGCUUCCAAGACCACAAGCUUAAAAUAAGUAAAGAAGACAGUAAAAUUCUUAAAAAGGCUCAGAAAGAUGGAUUUUUGCAUGAGACGCUUCUGGACAGAAAGGAGCGAGUUGCAGACACAGUCAUUCUUGGAUUUGUUUCAACACCAGGCUUUCUUCCCUUUUGACCUGAACUGGGAGUUGAAUAUUUCCUCUCUUUGCCCUCUGACCCUCUAGUCUCUGAAACAUCUUUUGUACUAGAGGUAUGUGCAGAGACUUCCUGGAAAUUUGGAUUUGUAAAUUGUGCUGUUGUAUCUUCUAGGCACUGCAGUGAUCCAGAUAUAGAGCUGUUGCUCUUGCUUGUAUAAGUGUGACAUGUUGAUUCAAAAAAGGAAGUAAAAGGAAGAGAGUUGAUUACAUUUGGCUACUGACAUUAAUAAUAAUAAACAAUAAUUGUACUUGUAAUAUAAACAUCUGAAAGUUUUAGUUCUAAGAAUGGGUGUCCACAUAAGAAAAUUAUGUAAAAAUAAUUAAUGUCUAUUGUAAUUACUUUUCUUUAACCAAAGAAAAAGUAUAAUUUAAAGAUGGCUGUUUAAG
Molecule: long non-coding RNA, 584 nt
Filed under: Homo sapiens (human)
Lineage: Eukaryota; Metazoa; Chordata; Mammalia; Primates; Hominidae
Description: HSALNT0400590
Source: RNAcentral